CCACUCUGGUGGUAAGCGUGUUAUAAAGAACUAGAUUUCUUUCCAGCGUCCGCAACUUGGCUGGAGUAACCACGGAGGAGUUGAAGAGCGCUGGAAAUGCGAGGUUCAUCGCCCGGCGCCUUGGCAGAAAACAGUCCGGGCCAUGAGGACUCGGUGGAAACUAAAAGGAGGGUCGAGUGUGGCCUUGAUGAACAGAUGUCGCUUGCCUGCUGGUCCCAUUCUGGGAAGUCUGGGUUAGCAUGGAGUAUUUGAGGUCACCUCACUCACUUGGGACCUGAACUAGGCCCAGUUCAUUGUCUCAACAAUCCUGUGGAGGAAGUUGUUACGGAUUGAAUGGUGUCCUCUGAAAAGGUGUGCCAGCUGAAGUUCAGAGGGGUCAUGCUACAGUAGAAAGGCACCGUUGGACUCCAACACGUCUUGUCACUCCGGG
Molecule: long non-coding RNA, 430 nt
Organism: Diceros bicornis minor
Lineage: Eukaryota; Metazoa; Chordata; Mammalia; Perissodactyla; Rhinocerotidae
Exons: 4
Source: RefSeq, a predicted model, not a curated record